Molecule: non-coding RNA, 72 nt
Organism: Phthorimaea operculella (potato tuberworm)
Lineage: Eukaryota; Metazoa; Arthropoda; Insecta; Lepidoptera; Gelechiidae
Source: the annotation of a GenBank genome assembly
GCGCCCUUAGCUUAGUUGGCAGAGCAGUGGGACGGUACCCCAUGGUCCCGGGUUCAAUUCCCGGCGGUCGCC